Molecule: ribosomal RNA, 253 nt
Filed under: uncultured bacterium
Lineage: Bacteria
Description: partial 16S ribosomal RNA
Rfam family: Bacterial small subunit ribosomal RNA
Source: RNAcentral
UACGAAGGGGGCUAGCGUUAAUCGGAAUUACUGGGCGUAAAGCGUGCGUAGGCGGUUCGUUAAGUCAGCUGUGAAAGCCCCGGGCUCAACCUGGGAAUUGCGGUUGAAACUGGCGAACUAGAAUCUGGCAGAGGGGGGUGGAAUUCCACGUGUAGCAGUGAAAUGCGUAGAGAUGUGGAGGAACACCGAUGGCGAAGGCAGCCCCCUGGGCUGAGAUUGACGCUCAGGCACGAAAGCGUGGGGAGCAAACAGG